This 86-nucleotide transfer RNA is filed under the name Caudoviricetes sp. Its description in RNAcentral is "tRNA-Leu". It matches the Rfam family "tRNA". From Rfam's summary of the family: Transfer RNA (tRNA) molecules are approximately 80 nucleotides in length. Lineage: Duplodnaviria; Heunggongvirae; Uroviricota; Caudoviricetes. The record is from RNAcentral.
GGCUCUAUGGUGGAAUUGGUAGACACGUCAGGUUUAAGCCCUGAUGCUCAGUGAUGGGCGUGUGAGUUCGAGUCUCACUGGAGCUA